GGAGAUGUAGCUCAGUUGUAGAGUAUGUGCUUAGUAUGUGCAAGGCUAUGGGUUCAAUCCUCAGCUCCA
RNAcentral lists this transfer RNA (69 nucleotides) under Cavia porcellus (domestic guinea pig). It matches the Rfam family "tRNA". Rfam says of the family: Transfer RNA (tRNA) molecules are approximately 80 nucleotides in length. The record is from Rfam by way of RNAcentral. Lineage: Eukaryota; Metazoa; Chordata; Mammalia; Rodentia; Caviidae.